GGAUGAACGCUGGCGGCGUGCUUGAUACAUGCAAGUCGAACGGAGAGUGUAGCAAUAUACUUUUAGUGGCGAACGGGUGAGUAACGCGUUGGUGACCUGCCCCGAAGCGAGGGAUAACAGUUCGAAAGAACUGCUAAUACCUCAUGUGAUCACCGGUUUUAGAAUCUGGUGAUUAAAGGUGAAAAUCACUUCGGGAGGGGCCUGCGUCCCAUCAGCUAGUUGGUAAGGUAAUGGCUUACCAAGGCGAUGACGGGUAGGGGACCUGAGAGGGUGGCCCCCCACAAUGGAACUGAAACACGGUCCAUACACCUACGGGUGGCAGCAGUAGGGAAUAUUGCAAAUGGGCGAAAGCCUGAUGUAGCAACGCCGCGUGUGCGAUGAAGGUCUUCGGAUUGUAAAGCACUUUUUGGAGGGAUGAGGAAGGACAGUACCUCCAGAAUAAGCCUCGGCUAACUACGUGCCAGCAGCCGCGGUAAUACGUAGGUGGCAAGCGUUAUCCGGAAUUAUUGGGCGUAAAGAGUGAGCAGGCGGCAGUUUAAGUUUGGAGUCAAAGCGAGGGGCUCAACCCCUUAACGCUCUGAAAACUGAACAGCUAGAGUGCGAGAGAGGUAAGUGGAAUUCCAUGUGUAGCGGUGAAAUGCGUAGAUAUAUGGAGGAACACCAGUGGCGAAGGCGACUUACUAGCUCGAUACUGACGCUCAGUCACGAAAGCGUGGGUAGCAAAUAGGAUUAGAUACCCUAGUAGUCCACGCUGUAAACGAUGAGAACUAAGUAUUGCCGUGAGGCAGUGCUGAAGCUAACGCAUUAAGUUCUCCGCCUGGGGAGUACGGUCGCAAGACUGAAACUUAAAGGAAUUGACGGGGCCCCGCACAAGCAGUGGAGCAUGUGGUUUAAUUCGACGCUACGCGAAGAACCUUACCAGGACUUGACAUGGAAUUAAAGACCCUAGAAAUAGGGGGAUAGUCAUAGUUCACACAGGUGGUGCAUGGUUGUCGUCAGCUCGUGUCGUGAGAUGUUAGGUUAAGUCCUGCAACGAGCGCAACCCUCGUCCUUAGUUACCAUCAUUAAGUUGGGGACUCUAAGGAGACUGCCGAUGUAAAUCGGAGGAAGGUGGGGAUGACGUCAAAUCAUCAUGCCCUUUACGUCCUGGGCGACACACGUGCUACAAUGGCCGGUACAGAGAGAAGCAAGACCGCGAGGUGGAGCUAAUCCCAUAAAGCCGGUCUCAGUUCAGAUUGAAGUCUGCAACUCGACUUCAUGAAGUCGGAAUUGCUAGUAAUCGCAGAUCAGCCAUGCUGCGGUGAAUACGUUCCCGGGGCU
This 1320-nucleotide ribosomal RNA is filed under the name uncultured bacterium. RNAcentral's name for it is "bacterial SSU rRNA". It matches the Rfam family "Bacterial small subunit ribosomal RNA", at positions 27 to 1381 of the family's 1533-position model. The record is from RNAcentral.